CGGCGGAGCAUGCGGAUUAAUUCGAUGCAACGCGAAGAACCUUACCAAGCUUGACAUAUAGAGGAAACGUCUGGAAACAGUCGCCCCGCAAGGUCUCUAUACAGGUGGUGCAUGGUUGUCGUCAGCUCGUGUCGUGAGAUGUUGGGUUAAGUCCCGCAACGAGCGCAACCCUCGUUCUAUGUUGCCAGCACGUAAUGGUGGGAACUCAUGGGAUACUGCCGGGGUCAACUCGGAGGAAGGUGGGGAUGACGUCAAAUCAUCAUGCCCCUUAUGUCUUGGGCUUCACGCAUGCUACAAUGGCCGGUACAGAGGGCUGCAAUACCGUAAGGUGGAGCGAAUCCCAAAAAGCCGGUCCCAGUUCGGAUUGAGGUCUGCAACUCGACCUCAUGAAGUCGGAGUCGCUAGUAAUCGCAGAUCAGCAACGCUGCGGUGAAUACGUUCCCGGGUCUU
This 450-nucleotide ribosomal RNA is filed under the name uncultured Microbacterium sp. Its description in RNAcentral is "bacterial SSU rRNA". It matches the Rfam family "Bacterial small subunit ribosomal RNA", at positions 930 to 1382 of the family's 1533-position model. Lineage: Bacteria; Bacillati; Actinomycetota; Actinomycetes; Micrococcales; Microbacteriaceae. The record is from RNAcentral.